GAGGACACUUCUUAGGAAUAGUGCCUAACCAAGAUACUAACUAGGGUACUGUUCAUCGGGUUCGCUCCUCGACCAUGGUAAGGAAUAUCGGUCCUUCGGUUCUUCUUUUAUUGAUUUUUAAUUUUUUUUCAUCAUGAUUUUUAUUCCUGAUUUAAAAUGAUAUGUUUACACCAUAGAGUGCGGACGUAUAAAAGAUAAAAAAAAAUAUUUUCUGAUUGUAAUUUGUUGUUAUAUUGGAAAUUUAUGCUAUUUUUCGCUAUUGUGUAUAGCAACAACGUAUUCGCUUAUUUGAUUCUAACAUUUUUGGACCAAACUGCCCUGCAUACUGUUUCUAUAGUUAAAAAUUUUGAUUUUAAGAUUUUUGAACGAAACCGCCCCUGCAUAUUGUUUUUAAACUUUAAAAAAAUUGUUUUUAACAGUUUUAGACCAAACUGUCCCUGCAUACUAAUUUUAUAGUUAUUUUUUUUUUAUCUUAACAGUUUUGGACGAAAAUGCCCUUGCAUAAUGUUUUUAUACUUAAAAAAAUUUUUGAAUGUAACAAUUUUGGAUGACACAACACUUACAUAUCGUUUUUAUAGUUAAUCUUUUAUUGAUUUCAACGGUUUUGAACUCAAAUUGAUGUUGAAAAUGCAAUAAAUAGCAACGAGCUUUGAAUUUACACAUUUUUUUUUGUUUUUUUUUUUUUGUAAUUUCUUUUAUUUAUUUUUUUUCCAAAAACCAAACUACAUUGCUAUUAGGUGCAUUUUCCAUUUUUACAAGUAAAAUGACCCAAAUGGCAACAUACUUUCAAUUUAUAUUUCUUUCUUUUCCAUUUUUACGAGUGAAAUGCCCCAAGUGCAUUCUCAUUUAGGAAAGAAGAACCAUCGAUACACCAGUCGUCGGAUUUAAUCUCCGAUUUCACAACUUCACCAUUCUUUAAGUUCUUCGCUGGAAUACCUACAUGAAUCUACAUGUGAAGAAUGAAGUUUUUUUUAUGUGAAUUUGUCACCCCCAUUUUUCGUUCAUUUGUAGUAUUACCAGGGGUAGCUGUUGCCUGGAAAGCUGCAAACGUCAAAACUGGAACUACAGUGGUUCUAUUUAGACUACGUACAAUUACGGAAGCUGUAUGAUUCUUAUGAACUUAUAUAAAUGAUUCUUAUGAACUUAUAUAAAGAUACGACUUUAAAAGGGCCCAUAACAAUAAAGUGGGACAACAUAUGUUUUUUUAAAUUGACUUGCCCGAUCACAAUACUCAAACUAUAAACAAAUAGUUGAUGAAACGACAAUUACAAAGAACAAACAACGGAAAAAAUGAUCGCAUCCGACCCUCGCAACGCGGGGGUC
Lactuca sativa (garden lettuce) is the source of this 1323-nucleotide long non-coding RNA. RefSeq lists it as uncharacterized. NCBI's taxonomy places the organism in Eukaryota, Viridiplantae, Streptophyta, Magnoliopsida, Asterales, Asteraceae. The record is from RefSeq and is a predicted model, not a curated record.